This is a long non-coding RNA of Dryobates pubescens (Downy woodpecker), 515 nucleotides long. RefSeq lists it as uncharacterized. The record is from RefSeq and is a predicted model, not a curated record. The transcript has 3 exons. Lineage: Eukaryota; Metazoa; Chordata; Aves; Piciformes; Picidae.
GGUGCCCUGUCAGCAGCGGGCAGGCCACACCGGGCCGGUCUGUUGUGAGAGUCCCAUCGGCACUGCCCAUUGUUGCUGUCCACUCCGGUACAGAUUUUUUUCUGCAUACUAAUACCUGUGUGGUGCUUAUAUGUGGAAUAUGGCAAGAAGCUAUUCACUGCAAGCACAGACAGGAUGGUCACACAGGCCUCUGCUCUGUUUUGUGAAAGAAACCAGGAGAAAGAUCAGUGACCAAACCCCCAACCAUGGCAGUGUAAAGGUGCUGUUCUGAAGCCUUUCUUUGCAGAAUCCACAGCACACUGUACAGGUGAUGAUUAAAUUGGACCAGUCUCCUCAGCAUGUGAAAUUUACUGCUCGUGCUCCAUGCUACAUCAAGUCUUACACAACACCUGUUUUUUCCUUCUGGCUCCACAUGACAUUUGGCAACAGAUGUGUUAUUUACAGGUAAAUUUUAUACCAACUUUGUUGUGCAAAAAGUUGAUUUGGGGAAGCAGUUACAUAAAUAUUAUUAAAAA